RNAcentral lists this ribosomal RNA (497 nucleotides) under uncultured bacterium. RNAcentral describes it as "partial 16S ribosomal RNA". It matches the Rfam family "Bacterial small subunit ribosomal RNA", at positions 28 to 507 of the family's 1533-position model. The record is from RNAcentral.
GAUGAACGCUGGCGGCGUGCCUAAUACAUGCAAGUCGAGCGAACGGACGAUAAGCUUGCUUCUCUGAUGUUUGCGGCGGACGGGUGAGUAACACGUGGAUAACCUACCUAUAAGACUGGGAUAACUUCGGGAAACGGUAGCUAAUACCGUAUAAUAUUUUGAACCGCAUGGUUCAAAAGUGAAAUACGGUCUUGCUGUCACUUAUAGAUGGAUCCGCGCUGCAUUAGCUAGUUGGUAAGGUAACGGGUUACCAAGGCAACGAUGCAUAGCCGACCUGAGAGGGUGAUCGGCCACACUGGAACUGAGACACGGUCCAGACUCCUACGGGAGGCAGCAGUAGGGAAUCUUCCGCAAUGGGCGAAAGCCUGACGGAGCAACGCCGCGUGAGUGAUGAAGGUCUUCGGAUCGUAAAACUCUGUUAUUAGGGAAGAACAUAUGUGUAAGUAACUGUGCACAUCUUGACGGUACCUAAUCAGAAAGCCACGGCUAACUACGUG